RNAcentral lists this long non-coding RNA (232 nucleotides) under Homo sapiens (human). Its description in RNAcentral is "HSALNT0261935". Lineage: Eukaryota; Metazoa; Chordata; Mammalia; Primates; Hominidae. The record is from RNAcentral.
GUAAAGCUGUGAUAUCAGUCAGAUUAUUGCAUACAGGGCAUUCUUCACAGAGAGGGCCAGUGUGGAUUAUAGGAAAGAAAUGCUCUACUAACCAAUCAUGAAAUAGAGCAGUCCAAGACCUUAAGAGGCUGCAGUUUUUAUUGGAGGAGAUUAAUACGUUAAUAGGAAGUGAUUACAUAUACAGUAGAGGUAAUGCAGGGGACAUGUUAGCCACAUCUCCAUUGAAUGGCAG